This is a long non-coding RNA of Eucalyptus grandis, 771 nucleotides long. RefSeq lists it as uncharacterized. The record is from RefSeq and is a predicted model, not a curated record. Lineage: Eukaryota; Viridiplantae; Streptophyta; Magnoliopsida; Myrtales; Myrtaceae. The transcript is spliced from 3 exons.
GCUAGUUCGAUCUCGUAAACCUGUUGUUCCGUUCUCGAAUCGCUGAGGUGCUUUGUUGAUCGCGUAAGCCUGUUGUUCCGCUCUGGAAGUCGCUGAUGUGAUGCGUUAGGUGAAUUACGUCGACGUUAUACCGUGUUAUGGUUGAUUAUGAUGUUUUGUAUUGACUAUCUUUCAAGUGUACAUUGCUUGAAAUGGAUGGGAAGGCGGUUACCAUGUCGGAAAGAGUAGAAGACAACGACCUUCCGGUUUGAGCUCAUGCGUCUCCCAUAUUGUCUGGAUAGUGAUGUGGUUGGGUUUGAUUCGCUCAGCAGUUAGUCUAUUGUUCCAUUUUGAAGAAAACGAAGGUUAUCCUAUCUAGCAAUCUUCCAUCGAAAAAUUGACAGUGAGUUCAUUGCUGAAUGUUACACAAGGAGGGCCUACAUAUCAGGUUUUACGGGCAGUGCUGGCACUGCUGUCGUCACCAAGGAUAAAGCAGCUCUGUGGACAGAUGGACGUUAUUUUCUUCAGGCUGAGAAUCAGCUAAACUCCAGUUGGAUUCUCAUGCGGGCUGGUAAUCUGGGAGUUUCAGAGGUGCAUUACUGCCGAAUGGAUGGAUAAUUCUCGAAUUGAGUCUCACCUUGCCACAAUUCUGGCCGGCGGCUUCUUGAGAUGAUAUUCGUGGUUUUCGGUUCAUGCAGUUGGUUUGUACCCUCGCUGUAUUACUUGCCUCAUAUAGUGAUUCUGAUUCAACCGGAGUUCGUUGUCCUUUGUCUAUAGACUUCAUAAAUCCCU